UACGUAGGGGGCAAGCGUUGUCCGGAUUUAUUGGGCGUAAAGAGCGUGUAGGCGGUUUGGUAGGUCCGCUGUGAAAACUCGAGGCUCAACCUCGAGACGCCGGUGGAAACCAUCAGACUAGAGUCCGGAAGAGGAGAGUGGAACUGCGAGUGUAGAGGUGAAAUUCGUAGAUAUUCGCAAGAACACCAGUGGCGAAGGCGGCUCACUGGCCCGGUACUGACGCUGAGGUGCGAAAGCGUGGGGAGCAAACAGG
This 253-nucleotide ribosomal RNA is filed under the name uncultured bacterium. RNAcentral's name for it is "partial 16S ribosomal RNA". It matches the Rfam family "Bacterial small subunit ribosomal RNA", at positions 524 to 776 of the family's 1533-position model. The record is from RNAcentral.